RNAcentral lists this ribosomal RNA (253 nucleotides) under uncultured bacterium. RNAcentral describes it as "partial 16S ribosomal RNA". It matches the Rfam family "Bacterial small subunit ribosomal RNA", at positions 524 to 776 of the family's 1533-position model. The record is from RNAcentral.
UACGGAGGGUGCAAGCUUUAAUCGGAAUUACUGGGCGUAAAGCGCACGCAGGUGGCUAAGUCAGUCGAUUGUGAAAGCCCUGGGCUUAACCUGGGAACUGCAUUUGUGACUGCAUGGCUGGAGUGCGGCAGAGGGGGAUGGAAUUCCGCGUGUAGCAGUGAAAUGCGUAGAUAUGCGGAGGAACACCGAUGGCGAAGGCAAUCCCCUGGGCCUGCACUGACGCUCAUGCACGAAAGCGUGGGGAGCAAACAGG